AAAUUUGGUCACCAAUUUUGACUAGUUUUAUUAUUAACAAAUCAAAAAGAAAAAGCUAUCAUUUUUCUCUUCUCCUUCACCAAAAUAUGCAGCAAAGAAAGGGCUUUGAAGCUGGAAAAUUUCAGCAACAUAUUUCCCUUGCUUAUGAUGAAAAUCGAGAUUUGGACCUAGAACGGAAAGAAAUCGAUUAAGGGAUAAUUACGUCUUUUUUUUUUCACCUUUGUGGUAUCGAGAGUUUCCAGGUUAGAUCGGGUUGGAGGCCGUCAGAGAUAUUAUCACACUGUCGAGUUAACGCUAUCGGCGUAAGUAAACUCAAGUGAUUCUAGUCUAUGGCAUGUAUAGGGUUUUAAUGUGAGUAUGUAAUAUUAUGAUUUAGCCAAAGGCAUUGGCUUGUUAUUAAGGUAGUAUUAGUCAUGUAAAUUGGCCUAUGUCGGCUAAUAUCGUUAUGGGCCCAUAUGAUUAUUCUUAUGCAUGUAUGUUAUUAUCUCUUGUGAUGUGGCUUACAACAUGUAUGCCUAGAGAUUGAAUUGAGAUUCAUUGAUGAGCUAAUAACUAAUAAGGAUUAAGUGAUUGGUAAA
This is a long non-coding RNA of Gossypium arboreum, 578 nucleotides long. RefSeq lists it as uncharacterized. Lineage: Eukaryota; Viridiplantae; Streptophyta; Magnoliopsida; Malvales; Malvaceae. The record is from RefSeq and is a predicted model, not a curated record. The transcript has 3 exons.